RNAcentral lists this ribosomal RNA (314 nucleotides) under uncultured bacterium. RNAcentral's name for it is "partial 16S ribosomal RNA". It matches the Rfam family "Bacterial small subunit ribosomal RNA", at positions 495 to 807 of the family's 1533-position model. The record is from RNAcentral.
GUAUAAGAGACAGCAGCCGCCGCGGGAAAACAGAGGGUGCGAGCGUUAAUCGGAUUUACUGGGCGUAAAGCGUGCGUAGGCGGCUUCUUAAGUCGGAUGUGAAAUCCCUGAGCUUAACUUAGGAAUUGCAUUCGAUACUGGGAAGCUAGAGUAUGGGAGAGGAUGGUAGAAUUCCAGGUGUAGCGGUGAAAUGCGUAGAGAUCUGGAGGAAUACCGAUGGCGAAGGCAGCCAUCUGGCCUAAUACUGACGCUGAGGUACGAAAGCAUGGGGAGCAAACAGGAUUAGAUACCCCUGUAGUCCCUGUCUCUUAUAC